ACGGAGGGUGCGAGCGUUGUCCGGAAUCAUUGGGCGUAAAGGGCGCGUAGGUGGCCCGGUCAGUCUGUGGUGAAAGCGCGGGGCUCAACCCCGCGUCGGCCAUGGAUACUGCUGGGCUGGAGCACUGUAGAGGCAGGCGGAAUUCCGGGUGUAGCGGUGGAAUGCGUAGAGAUCCGGAAGAACACCGGUGGCGAAGGCGGCCUGCUGGGUUCUGGCUGACACUGAGGCGCGACAGCGUGGGGAUCAAACAGGA
RNAcentral lists this ribosomal RNA (253 nucleotides) under uncultured prokaryote. RNAcentral describes it as "partial 16S ribosomal RNA". It matches the Rfam family "Bacterial small subunit ribosomal RNA", at positions 525 to 777 of the family's 1533-position model. The record is from RNAcentral.